AACUAUUUGCAUCGAAUUUGAAAGAAAAAGGUAUACGAGAGGAUAUCCCCUUGAGGGAUUAGAAUCCACUCCCUAUAAGCUCUAAUGGAUUAAGGUUGUGUUCGUUUGUAGAGCUUUACAACUUUCCACUCUCAUUUUCCGUGCACAUGCUU
RNAcentral lists this microRNA precursor (152 nucleotides) under Oryza sativa (Asian cultivated rice). RNAcentral's name for it is "miR5817 stem-loop (osa-MIR5817)". The record is from miRBase by way of RNAcentral. Lineage: Eukaryota; Viridiplantae; Streptophyta; Magnoliopsida; Poales; Poaceae.